Molecule: unclassified non-coding RNA, 152 nt
Filed under: uncultured Helotiales
Lineage: Eukaryota; Fungi; Ascomycota; Leotiomycetes; Helotiales
Description: sequence contains ITS2
Source: RNAcentral
CAACCCCUCGAGCAAAUUGCUUGGUCUUGGGCCCCGCCACUCAUCUGGCGGGCCUUAAAAUCAGUGGCGGUGUGCCACCAGGCCCUGAGCGUAGUAAAACAUCCUCGCUACAGGGUACUGGUAGACGCUGGCCAGCAACCCCCACCUCCUAU